CUCACACCGGACUUAAUAAUAAUUUUUAAAUAUUACAAAAUUUAAUUUUUAAAUAUUUUUAAUUGUGUAGAUCAAUUCAAUGGUACCGAUUAUGAAUUUGAAGCUCCGAUCAUUCAAAACAACUUGAUAGGAUAAUGUCAUCAAUCCUAUUAAUAGGAUAGUAGAUGGACUCUCUCUCUCUCUAUAUAUAGAGUCCAGCUAGGAUAUUAUCGAUAGUACAAAGUAUUUGGUGCUAUCAAGUUUUCUACCGUUAGAUUUAUCUCUUUUAUUAUUAUCAUUUUCAUCUGUUUGAUUAAGAUGAUGUGGGCCCCUUAGAGUUGAGUGGGUGGUUAGUUGAAUAGUAUAAUCGAAUGGAUAAAAAUGAUAAAAGAGGUAAAUCUAACAGUAGAAAACUUGAUAAUACUAAAUACUUUGUAUUAUCGAUAGUAUUCCAGCCGGACUCUCUCUCUCUCUAUAUAUAUAUAGGCUCAAAUCUCUAACUUUAAAAUAAUAAAUAUAUAAAAAUCUGAAUCUUAAAUGUGAAGCCUCAACCCAAACUUUAAAUUGAUUGAUACAAUUUUUGUAGAAUGAGGUGAAUUUAGUAGUUUGCUAAAUAUUUAUUAUAAAAAUUUAUUGGAGUAAAAGAAAUAAUUUGAGGAUAGUUACCAAUUAUGUU
This 655-nucleotide long non-coding RNA is filed under the name Ananas comosus (pineapple). RNAcentral's name for it is "long non-coding RNA (ACOM_LNC002549)". Lineage: Eukaryota; Viridiplantae; Streptophyta; Magnoliopsida; Poales; Bromeliaceae. The record is from RNAcentral.